UAGGGAAUCUUCGGCAAUGGACGGAAGUCUGACCGAGCAACGCCGCGUGAGUGAAGAAGGUUUUCGGAUCGUAAAGCUCUGUUGUAAGAGAAGAACGAGUGUGAGAGUGGAAAGUUCACACUGUGACGGUAUCUUACCAGAAAGGGACGGCUAACUACGUGCCAGCAGCCGCGGUAAUACGUAGGUCCCGAGCGUUGUCCGGAUUUAUUGGGCGUAAAGCGAGCGCAGGCGGUUAGAUAAGUCUGAAGUUAAAGGCUGUGGCUUAACCAUAGUACGCUUUGGAAACUGUUUAACUUGAGUGCAGGAGGGGGGAGUGGAAUUCCAUGUGUAGCGGUGAAAUGCGUAGAUAUAUGGAGGAACACCGGUGGCGAAAGCGGCUCUCUGGCUUGUAACUGACGCUGAGGCUCGAAAGCGUGGGGAGCAAACAGGAUUAGAUACCCUGGUAGUCCACGCUGUAAACGAUGAGUGCUAGGUGUUAGACCCUUUCCGGGGUUUAGUGCCGUAGCUAACGCAUUAAGCACUCCGCCUGGGGAGUACGACCGCAAGGUUG
This 550-nucleotide ribosomal RNA is filed under the name uncultured bacterium. RNAcentral's name for it is "bacterial SSU rRNA". It matches the Rfam family "Bacterial small subunit ribosomal RNA", at positions 355 to 896 of the family's 1533-position model. The record is from RNAcentral.